This is a long non-coding RNA of Hemicordylus capensis (graceful crag lizard), 604 nucleotides long. RefSeq lists it as uncharacterized. Lineage: Eukaryota; Metazoa; Chordata; Lepidosauria; Squamata; Cordylidae. The transcript has 2 exons. The record is from RefSeq and is a predicted model, not a curated record.
UGCAAAUAGGAGCAGAAGAACGGGGAAGUGUUUGCAUACACUGAGCUCAGCCGAAAGAUGAAGCAAGCGGCAGGAAGGACUGAAGCUGCUCAGAAUAACCCAGAAAGAAAAAUAUCAGGGAAAGGAUGCUGGGACAUAUUUGCAGCUGCGAACAGAUUACAACAGACGUCGUUAGCUUCAGGGCAGAAAUCUUAGUAACGAAGAUGCUAAUACCACAAGAAGAAAAAGCGGAAGGGCUGGUGCUCAUAUUACUCUCUCAUGGCUGCUCAUAGAGGAUAUUCUCAAAUUGCAAAAGAAAGAGGCUAUAGUUCUUGUACAUGAAGGUGCUCCCUGGCAAACCAAGAAGAAAAAGCAGUGGGAGGGGGACCGGUUCAGCUCAGCAAGCUAGAAGAAAAUCUGCUUUUGUGAUUUUUCUAAAGCAGAUACUGAGGGAAACACAACAAAGAUAUGUGAAAUAACACAAAAAUUAAUAUUUGUGAAUGCAUCUGUCUGUAUGAACAAACUGUGCAAAUACAAGAAAGCCCUCACAAUUAUACAAUAAUUUUCACAUUGCUCCAUUGCCCUACAGUAGGCAGCUCAGUAAAUCAGUUUUGAAAAACCUUAA